This 689-nucleotide ribosomal RNA is filed under the name uncultured bacterium. RNAcentral describes it as "bacterial SSU rRNA". It matches the Rfam family "Bacterial small subunit ribosomal RNA", at positions 32 to 715 of the family's 1533-position model. The record is from RNAcentral.
AACGCUAGCUACAGGCUUAACACAUGCAAGUCGAGGGGCAUCACGAAUGAAGCUUGCUUUAUUUGGUGGCGACCGGCGCACGGGUGAGUAACGCGUAUCCGACCUACCCAUAACACGGGCACAGCCGCUCGAAAGAGUGAUUGAUUCCCGAUAUGUCAUAUGAGUAGAUUAUAUGAUGAAAGAUUUAUCGGUUAUGGAUGGGGAUGCGUAAGAUUAGGUAGUAGGCGGGGUAACGGCCCACCUAGCCGACGAUCUUUAGGGGUUCUGAGAGGAAGGUCCCCCACACUGGUACUGAGACACGGACCAGACUCCUACGGGAGGCAGCAGUGAGGAAUAUUGGUCAAUGGGCGGAAGCCUGAACCAGCCAAGUAGCGUGAAGGAUUACAGCCCUACGGGUUUUAAACUUCUUUUAUAUAAGAGUAAUGUGCACUACGUGUAGUGUAUUGCAAGUAUUAUAUGAAUAAGCAUCGGCUAACUCCGUGCCAGCAGCCGCGGUAAUACGGAGGAUGCGAGCGUUAUCCGGAUUUAUUGGGUUUAAAGGGAGCGUAGGCGGGUUAUUAAGUCAGUCGUCAAAGCCUGUGGCUCAACCACGGCCCGCGAUUGAUACUGGUAACCUUGAGUGCGGAUGAGGUGGAUGGAAUUCGUGGUGUAGCGGUGAAAUGCUUAGAUAUCACGAAGAACUCCGAUUG